This 501-nucleotide ribosomal RNA is filed under the name uncultured bacterium. Its description in RNAcentral is "partial 16S ribosomal RNA". It matches the Rfam family "Bacterial small subunit ribosomal RNA", at positions 30 to 523 of the family's 1533-position model. The record is from RNAcentral.
AUUGAACGCUGGCGGCAGGCUUAACACAUGCAAGUCGAGCGGGGGAAGGUAGCUUGCUACUGGACCUAGCGGCGGACGGGUGAGUAAUGCUUAGGAAUCUGCCUAUUAGUGGGGGACAACAUCUCGAAAGGGAUGCUAAUACCGCAUACGUCCUACGGGAGAAAGCAGGGGAUCUUCGGACCUUGCGCUAAUAGAUGAGCCUAAGUCGGAUUAGCUAGUUGGUGGGGUAAAGGCCUACCAAGGCGACGAUCUGUAGCGGGUCUGAGAGGAUGAUCCGCCACACUGGGACUGGGACACGGCCCAGACUCCUACGGGAGGCAGCAGUGGGGAAGAUUGGACAAUGGGGGGAACCCUGAUCCAGCCAUGCCGCGUGUGUGAAGAAGGCCUUAUGGUUGUAAAGCACUUUAAGCGAGGAGGAGGCUACUCUAGUUAAUACCUAGGGAUAGUGGACGUUACUCGCAGAAUAAGCACCGGCUAACUCUGUGCCAGCAGCCGCCGCGG